UGACGAGCGGCGGACGGGUGAGUAAUGUCUGGGAAACUGCCUGAUGGAGGGGGAUAACUACUGGAAACGGUAGCUAAUACCGCAUANGUCAGACCAAAGUGGGACCUUCGGGCCUCAUGCCAUCAGAUGUGCCCAAAUGGGAUUAGCUAGUAGGUGGGGUAACGGCCACCUAGGCGACGAUCCCUAGCUGGUUGAGAGGAUGACCAGCCACACUGGAACUGAGACACGGUCCAGACUCCUACGGAGGCAGCAGUGGGGAUAUUGCACAAUGGGCGCAAGCCUGAUGCAGCCAUGCCGCGUGUGUGAAGAAGGCCUUCGGGUUGUAAAGCACUUUCAGCGGGAGGAAGGCGAUGAGGUUAAUAACCUCAUCGAUUGACGUUACCCGCAGGAAGCACGGCUAACUCCGUGCCAGCAGCCGCGGUAAUACGGAGGGUGAGCGUUAAUCGGAUUACUGGGCGUAAAGCGCACGCAGGCGGUCUGUCAAGUCGGAUGUGAAUUCCCGGGCUCAACCUGGGACUGCAUUCGAAACUGGCAGGCUAGAGUCUUGUAGAGGGGGGUAGAAUUCCAGGUGUAGCGGUGAAUGCGUAGAGAUCUGGAGGGAUACCGGUGGCGAAGGCGGCCCCCUGGACAAAGACUGACGCUCAGGUGCGACAGCGUGGAGCAAACAGGAUAGAUACCCUGGUAGUCCACGCCGUAAACGAUGUCGAUUUGGAG
Molecule: ribosomal RNA, 714 nt
Filed under: Klebsiella pneumoniae
Lineage: Bacteria; Pseudomonadati; Pseudomonadota; Gammaproteobacteria; Enterobacterales; Enterobacteriaceae
Description: bacterial SSU rRNA
Rfam family: Bacterial small subunit ribosomal RNA
Source: RNAcentral